ACGGAAGGCAGCAGUGAGGAAUAUUGGUCAAUGGGCGGAAGCCUGAACCAGCCAAGUAGCGUGAGGGAUGACUGCCCUAUGGGUUGUAAACCUCUUUUGUUCGGGAAUAAAGUCACCUACGUGUAGGUGUUUGCAUGUACCGUUCGAAUAAGCAUCGGCUAAUUCCGUGCCAGCAGCCGCGGUAAUACGGAAGAUGCGAGCGUUAUCCGGAUUUAUUGGGUUUAAAGGGAGCGUAGGCGGCUGGUUAAGUCAGCGGUCAAAUGUCAGGGCCCAACCUUGGCAUGCCGUUGAUACUGUCCGGCUUGAAUGUGCACAAGGAAGGUGGAAUUCGUCGUGUAGCGGUGAAAUGCUUAGAUAUGACGAAGAACUCCGAUUGCGAAGGCAGCCUUCUGGGGCAUGAUUGACGCUGAGGCUCGAAAGUGCGGGAAUCAAACAGGAUUAGAUACCCUGGUA
RNAcentral lists this ribosomal RNA (453 nucleotides) under uncultured Paraprevotella sp. RNAcentral's name for it is "partial 16S ribosomal RNA". It matches the Rfam family "Bacterial small subunit ribosomal RNA", at positions 341 to 792 of the family's 1533-position model. The record is from RNAcentral. Lineage: Bacteria; Pseudomonadati; Bacteroidota; Bacteroidia; Bacteroidales; Prevotellaceae.